AAGUCGUAACAAGGUUUCCGUAGGUGAACCUGCGGAAGGAUCAUUAUUGAAUAAACUUGGUUGGGUUGUUGCUGGCUUUUCGGAGCAUGUGCACACCUAGCACCAUUUUUUACCACCUGUGCACAUUUUGUAGACUUGAAACACCUCUUGGGGAAACUCAGUUUGAGGAAUGCCCUUAGUGGCUUUCCUUGCGUCUCAAGUCUAUGUUUUUUUAUAUACCCCAUAAGAAUGUAAUAGAAUGUCAUUAAUGGGCUUAUGCCUUUAAAUUAAUACAACUUUCAACAACGGAUCUCUUGGCUCUC
Molecule: unclassified non-coding RNA, 302 nt
Filed under: Collybia nuda
Lineage: Eukaryota; Fungi; Basidiomycota; Agaricomycetes; Agaricales; Clitocybaceae
Description: Lepista nuda partial internal transcribed spacer region
Rfam family: Eukaryotic small subunit ribosomal RNA (bases 1-46)
Source: RNAcentral